This 585-nucleotide ribosomal RNA is filed under the name uncultured bacterium. Its description in RNAcentral is "bacterial SSU rRNA". It matches the Rfam family "Bacterial small subunit ribosomal RNA", at positions 338 to 916 of the family's 1533-position model. The record is from RNAcentral.
CCUACGGGAGGCAGCAGUGGGGAAUUUUGGACAAUGGGCGCAAGCCUGAUCCAGCCAUGCCGCGUGCAGGAUGAAGGCCUUCGGGUUGUAAACUGCUUUUGUACGGAACGAAAAGACUCUGGUUAAUACCUGGGGUUCAUGACGGUACCGUAAGAAUAAGCACCGGCUAACUACGUGCCAGCAGCCGCGGUAAUACGUAGGGUGCGAGCGUUAAUCGGAAUUACUGGGCGUAAAGCGUGCGCAGGCGGUUAUAUAAGACAGAUGUGAAAUCCCCGGGCUCAACCUGGGAACUGCAUUUGUGACUGUAUAGCUAGAGUACGGUAGAGGGGGAUGGAAUUCCGCGUGUAGCAGUGAAAUGCGUAGAUAUGCGGAGGAACACCGAUGGCGAAGGCAAUCCCCUGGACCUGUACUGACGCUCAUGCACGAAAGCGUGGGGAGCAAACAGGAUUAGAUACCCUGGUAGUCCACGCCCUAAACGAUGUCAACUGGUUGUUGGGUCUUCACUGACUCAGUAACGAAGCUAACGCGUGAAGUUGACCGCCUGGGGAGUACGGCCGCAAGGUUGAAACUCAAAUGAAUUGACGG